UCCGGUUGAUCCUGCCGGACCCCACUGCUAUCGGGAUAGGACUAAGACAUGCUAGUCGUGUGCCUCAGCCAAAACGAGGCACGGCGCACAGCUCAGUAACACGUGGCUAACCUGCCCUUAGGACGAGAAUAACCCCGGGAAACUGGGGCUAAUGCUCGAUAGGUGAAGAACUCUGGAAUGAGUCUUCACUUAAAAGAGUCUGCGUUAUGCUCGUAGAUUUCGCUUAAGGAUGGGGCCGCGACCGAUCAGGUUGUUGGUGAGGUAAUGGCUCACCAAGCCUUUUACCGGUGCGGGCCGUGAGAGCGGGAGCCCGGAGAUGGGCACUGAGACAAGGGCCCAGGCCCUACGGGGCGCAGCAGUCGCGAAAACUUUGCAAUACACGAAAGUGUGACAGGGCUAUCCCGAGUGCCAUCCGCUGAGGAAGGCUUUUACCCAGUCUAGAACGCUGGGGGAAUAAGGAGAGGGCAAGUCUGGUGUCAGCCGCCGCGGUAAUACCAGCUCUCCGAGUGGUGUGGAUGUUUAUUGGGCCUAAAGCAUCCGUAGCUGGCUAAGUUAGUCCCCUGUUAAAUCCAACGAAUUAAUCGUUGGAUCGCGGGGGAUACUGCUUGGCUAGGGGACGAGAGAGGCAGACGGUAUUUCCGGGGUAGGGGUGAAAUCCUAUAAUCCCGGGAAGACCACCAGUGGCGAAGGCUGUCUGCUAGAACGCGCCCGACGGUGAGGGAUGAAAGCUGGGGGAGCGAACCGGAUUAGAUACCCGGGUAGUCCCAGCUGUAAACGAUGCAGGCUAGGUGUUUGGACGGCCACGUGCCGUUCUAGUGCCGCAGGGAAGCUGUUAAGCCUGCCGCCUGGGGAGUACGAUCGCAAGAUUGAAACUUAAAGGAAUUGGCGGGGGAGCACCACAAGGGGUGGAGCUUGCGGUUUAAUUGGAGUCAACGCCGGA
This 940-nucleotide ribosomal RNA is filed under the name archaeon enrichment culture clone C4-3C-A. RNAcentral's name for it is "bacterial SSU rRNA". It matches the Rfam family "Archaeal small subunit ribosomal RNA", at positions 1 to 922 of the family's 1478-position model. The record is from RNAcentral.